AUUGAACGCUGGCGGCAGGCUUAACACAUGCAAGUCGAACGAGUGGCGGACGGGUGAGUAAUGCUUGGGAAUCUAGCUUAUGGAGGGGGAUAACUACGGGAAACUGUAGCUAAUACCGCGUACCAUAGGAUGAGCCCAAAUGGGAUGAGGUAGGUGGUGAGGUAAAGGCUCACCAAGCCGACGAUCUCUAGCUGGUCUGAGAGGAGGACCCACCACACUGGGACUGCGACACGGCCCCGACUCCUACGGGAGGCCGCAGUGGGGAAUAUUGCGCACUGGGGGCAACCUGACGCAGCCAUGCCGCGUGAAUGAAGAAGGCCUUCGGGUUGUAAAGUUCUUUCAGCGAUGAGGCGUUACUCGCAGAAGAAGCACCGGCUAACUCCGUGCCAGCAGCCGCGGUAAUAC
This 405-nucleotide ribosomal RNA is filed under the name uncultured bacterium. RNAcentral describes it as "partial 16S ribosomal RNA". It matches the Rfam family "Bacterial small subunit ribosomal RNA", at positions 30 to 526 of the family's 1533-position model. The record is from RNAcentral.